This is a long non-coding RNA of Hemicordylus capensis (graceful crag lizard), 436 nucleotides long. RefSeq lists it as uncharacterized. The record is from RefSeq and is a predicted model, not a curated record. The transcript is spliced from 3 exons. NCBI's taxonomy places the organism in Eukaryota, Metazoa, Chordata, Lepidosauria, Squamata, Cordylidae.
CAAGCUCGAUCACGCAAGACGCUGGGGAGGGUUGCACCAAGAGAGUGAGCGAUUAGAGAGAGAGAGAGAGACCCUCCCCAAGCCACGUGCAGCUACAUCUCCCUAGGCAUGCAUAUUUACUCAGAAGGUGCGUGUGUGUUAUUUGCAGUCCUUUCAAGUUGACAGUUUGUUUCAUGGCAUGGAAGAAAAGGUGAACGCGAGAAGCUCCGAUGGCUGAAAGCGAGGAAAGUGGCUAACAUCCAGAGCGUUUGGCAUCAGGCGAUAAUGUGAUUGGUUAAUAUCUUCGUGCGGCGACGGGGCUCGUCUGAAAGGUUUCCUCCAAAUAUGUUCUGCAGCGAAGAAGUCAGAACCUGGUAUAGCGUCCAAUCAUUUUCUAGAUGGCCUUCUAUUAAAGAACAUUUGGCUUCAUCUCUAUACACACGUGCUUGAGGAAAAG